RNAcentral lists this ribosomal RNA (495 nucleotides) under uncultured bacterium. RNAcentral's name for it is "partial 16S ribosomal RNA". It matches the Rfam family "Bacterial small subunit ribosomal RNA", at positions 30 to 523 of the family's 1533-position model. The record is from RNAcentral.
AUUGAACGCUGGCGGCAGGCCUAACACAUGCAAGUCGAGCGUGAAAGUCUUCGGAUGAGUAAAGCGGCGAACGGGUGGGUAACGCGUGGGAAUCUGCCCAGUAGUGGGGGACAACAGCCGGAAACGGCUGCUAAUACCGCAUACGCCCUACGGGGGAAAGGGGGGGAUAUUCGGACCUCUCGCUAUUGGAUGAGCCCGCGUCGGAUUUGCUAGUUGGUGAGGUAAAGGCUCACCAAGGCGACGAUCCGUAACUGGUCUGAGAGGAUGAUCAGGCACACUGGAACUGAGACACGGUCCAGACUCCUACGGGAGGCAGCAGUGGGGAAUAUUGGACAAUGGGGGCAACCCUGAUCCAGCCAUGCCGCGUGUGUGAAGAAGGCCCUAGGGUUGUAAAGCACUUUCAGUGGGGAGAGAAGUGAUUCACCUAAUACGUGAGUCAAUUGAUGUUACCCACAGAAGAAGCACCGGCUAACUCCGUGCCAGCCGCCGCCGUAA